This 460-nucleotide ribosomal RNA is filed under the name uncultured bacterium. RNAcentral's name for it is "partial 16S ribosomal RNA". It matches the Rfam family "Bacterial small subunit ribosomal RNA", at positions 338 to 795 of the family's 1533-position model. The record is from RNAcentral.
CCUACGGGAGGCUGCAGUGAGGAAUAUUGGUCAAUGGACGAGAGUCUGAACCAGCCAAGUAGCGUGAAGGAUGACUGCCCUAUGGGUUGUAAACUUCUUUUAUAUGGGAAUAAAAUGUUCCACGUGUGGGAUUUUGUAUGUACCAUAUGAAUAAGGAUCGGCUAACUCCGUGCCAGCAGCCGCGGUAAUACGGAGGAUCCGAGCGUUAUCCGGAUGUAUUGGGUGUAAAGGGAGCGUAGGUGGAUUGUUAAGUCAGUUGUGAAAGUUUGCGGCUCAACCGUAAAAUUGCAGUUGAAACUGGCAGGCUUGAGUACAGUAGAGGUGGGCGGAAUUCGUGGUGUAGCGGUGAAAUGCUUAGAUAUCACGAAGAACUCCGAUUGCGAAGGCAGCUCACUGGACUGCAACUGACACUGAGGCUCGAAAGUGUGGGUAUCAAACAGGAUUAGAUACCCCGGUAGUC